This 460-nucleotide ribosomal RNA is filed under the name uncultured bacterium. RNAcentral's name for it is "partial 16S ribosomal RNA". It matches the Rfam family "Bacterial small subunit ribosomal RNA", at positions 338 to 795 of the family's 1533-position model. The record is from RNAcentral.
CCUACGGGCGGCAGCAGUGAGGAAUAUUGGGCAAUGGCCGUAAGGCUGACCCAGCGACGUCGCGUGAAGGAAGAAGGAUCUAUGGUUUUUAAACUUCUUUUAUAGGGGAGUACAGGUAUCCUCGUGUGGAUAUUUGCAUGUACCCUAUGAGUAAGCAUCGGCUAGCUCCGUGCCAGCAGCCGCGGUAAUACGGAGGAUGCGAGCGUUAUCCGGAUUUAUUGGGUUUAAAGGGUGCGUAGGUUGUUUUUUAAGUCAGCGGUGAAAGUUUGUGGCUCAACCAGAAAAUUGCCGUUGAAACUGGAAGACUGGAGUGUGUUUGAGGUAGGCGGAAUGCGUGGUGUAGCGGUGAAAUGCAUAGAUAUCACGAAGAACUCCGAUUGCGAAGGCAGCUUACUAAGACAUAACUGACACUGAAGCACGAAAGCGUGGGGAGCAAACAGGAUUAGAUACCCGAGUAGUC